UCUAGAAAGAUUCUGGUUGAUCCUGCCGGACCUGACUGCUAUGGGGGUUGGGUUAAGCUAUGCUAGUGGAGCGGACUUAGCCAUGAUAGUCCGCCGCACACGGCUCCAGUAACACGUAGUCAACUUACCCUUCGGACAGGGACGUCCCCGGGAAACUGGGGCUAAUCCCCGAUAGGGAUCUGCAGCUGGAACGCCCAGACACCAAAAUAGGAAGCUCUCAUGCGAGCUCCUCUGCCGAAGGAUAGGACUGCGCCCUAUCAGCUUGUAGGUAGUGUAAAGGACUACCUAGGCAAUAACGGGUACCGGCGAUGUAAGUCGGAGCCGGGAGAAGGACACUGAGAUAAGGUCCCAGGCCCUACGGGGCGCAGCAGGCGCGAAAACUCCGCAAUGCGCGAAAGCGUGACGGGGUUACCCCGAGUGCUGUCCGUUGAGGAUGGCUUUUCUUCAUUGUAAGAAGCUGAGGGAAUAAAGGGGGGGCAAGUCUGGUGUCAGCCGCCGCGGUAAUACCAGCCCCCUGAGUGAUAGGGACGAUUAUUUAGCCUAAAGCGUCCGUAGCCGGCAUAGUAAGUCUUUCGUCAAAUCUAACGACUUAAUCGCUAGUCUGCGGAAGAUACUACUAAGCUUGAGGGCGGGAGAGGUUGACGGUAGUCCUGGGGUAGGGGUGAAAUCCUAUAAUCCCAGGAGGACCACCAGUGGCGAAGGCGGUCAACUAGAACGCGCCUGACGGUGAGGGACGAAAGCUGGGGGAGCGAACCGGAUUAGACACCCGGGUAGUCCCAGCUGUAAACGAUGCGAGCUGGGUGUUGGGGUAGCUACGAGCUGCUCCAGUGCCGCAGAGAAGUUGUUAAGCUCGCCGCUUGGGAAGUACGGUCGCAAGGCUGAAACUUAAAGGAAUUGGCGGGGGAGCACCACAAGGGGUGAAGCCUGCGGUUCAA
This 935-nucleotide ribosomal RNA is filed under the name uncultured crenarchaeote. RNAcentral's name for it is "bacterial SSU rRNA". It matches the Rfam family "Archaeal small subunit ribosomal RNA", at positions 1 to 905 of the family's 1478-position model. Lineage: Archaea; Thermoproteati; Thermoproteota. The record is from RNAcentral.